RNAcentral lists this ribosomal RNA (1386 nucleotides) under Triticum aestivum (bread wheat). Its description in RNAcentral is "partial small subunit ribosomal RNA". Lineage: Eukaryota; Viridiplantae; Streptophyta; Magnoliopsida; Poales; Poaceae. The record is from RNAcentral.
AUGCCGUCCUGCUCGCGCGUCGCCGUGAUCGGCGCGGGGGCGGCGGGCCUGGCGGCGGCGCGCGAGCUGCGGCGCGAGGGCCACGCGCCCGUCGUCUUCGAGCGCGCCGCGGCCGUGGGCGGCACCUGGCGCUACGACGCCGCCGAGGACGCCGCCGACCCGCUCGGCGCCGGCGGCGCGCACUCGAGCCUCUACGCGUCCCUCCGCACCAACCUCCCCCGCGAGAGCAUGGGCUUCCUCGACUUCCCCUUCGUCGCGGGCCGCUCCUCAGCCGACCCGCGCAGGUUCCCCGGGCACCCGGAGGUGCUCCGGUACCUCGAGGCGUUCGCGCGGCGGUUCGACCUCCUCGGGCUGGUCCGGUUCGAGACGGAGGUCGUCAGCGUCCGCCGAAGCAGGGACGACGGCGCGGGCGCGGCGGGCUGGAGGGUCUCGUACCGCUCGAGGAGGCCCGACGGCGCCGGCGGCGAGCCGGAGGAGGAGGUGUUCGACGCCGUGGUCGUCUGCAACGGCCACUUCACCGAGCCACGCGUCGCCGCCAUCGCCGGCGUCCAUUGCUGGCCCGGGAAACAGAUGCACAGCCACAGCUACCGCGUGCCUGAUCCAUUUCGUGGCCAGGUUGUGAUGGUGAUAGGGUACCAACCGAGCGGCAUGGACAUCUCGAGGGACAUCGCCGGUGUGGCCAAAGAGGUCCACGUCGCCAUGCGAUCAGAACCUCCUUAUCAAAUGCACACUACUACUGCGACUGGCCAUGCCAACCUGUGGCUCCAUUCCUGCACGAUUGAGCGGGCGGAGGAAGACGGUAGCUUGGUGUUCCAAGACGGCAGCAAGAUCAAAGCUGAUGUCGUCCUGCACUGCACUGGAUACAAGUAUAACUUCCCGUUCCUAGGUGACAGCGACGACGAACUGGCCGGUGCAAUCUCCGUGGACGACAACCGCGUGGGCCCGCUGUACAAGCACGUAUUCCCGCCAAUGUUGGCUCCUCACGUCUCCUUCAUCGGAUUGCCCUUCAGGACGAUCCCUUUUCUAGUGUUUCAGCUCCAAAGCAAGUGGGUGGCCGGUGUUCUGUCGGGAAGACUCGAGCUCCCAUCACAAGAAGCCAUGAUGCGGGAUGUGGAUGCGUUCUACUCGGACAUGGAAGCUCGCGGAUGCGCCAAGAGACGCACUCAUGACCUGGGACAAGGCAAUCCGUUUGAGUAUGAGGACUGGGUGGCGGAGCAAUGCGGGCUGGGGAGGAUGGAAGGAUGGAGGAAGGGCAUGUUCGUUGCGACGUGUAAGAACCUGGCUGAUCGCCCGGACAGCUACCGGGAUGAAUGGGACGACGACCACCUGUUGCCACAGGCGCAUCAGGAUUUCAGAAAGCAUUCCUACCUGACCGAUCAAUAUUGA